This 433-nucleotide ribosomal RNA is filed under the name uncultured bacterium. Its description in RNAcentral is "partial 16S ribosomal RNA". It matches the Rfam family "Bacterial small subunit ribosomal RNA", at positions 29 to 507 of the family's 1533-position model. The record is from RNAcentral.
AACGAACGCUGGCGGCAUGCCUAACACAUGCAAGUCGAACAAGACCUUCGGGUCUAGUGGCGCACGGGUGCGUAACGCGUGGGAACCUGCCCUUAGGUUCGGCAUAACUUCCCGAAAGGGGUGCUAAUACCGGAUAUUGUCUUCGGACCAAAGUUUUAUCGCCUUUGGAUGGGCCCGCGUUGGAUUAGCUAGUUGGUAGGGUAAAAGCCUACCAAGGCGACGAUCCAUAGCUGGGCUGAGAGGAUGAUCAGCCACACUGGGACUGAGACACGGCCCAGACUCCUACGGGAGGGAGCAGUGGGGAAUAUUGGACAAUGGGCGAAAGCCUGAACCAGCAAUGACGGGUGAGUGAUGAAGGCCUGAGGGUUGUAAAGCUAUUUUACCCGGGAUGAUAAUGACAGUACCGGGAGAAUAAGCUCCGGCUAACUCCGUG